This 391-nucleotide unclassified non-coding RNA is filed under the name uncultured fungus. RNAcentral describes it as "sequence contains 5.8S rRNA gene, ITS2, 28S rRNA gene". The stretch from base 1 to 52 matches the Rfam family "5.8S ribosomal RNA", at positions 103 to 154 of the family's 154-position model. The record is from RNAcentral. Lineage: Eukaryota; Fungi.
AACGCACAUUGCGCCCUCUGGUAUUCCGGAGGGCAUGCCUGUUUGAGAAUCAUUAAAUCACCAAUCUUUUCCAUGUCGUUUCCGCCGGGGACACCCGAGGAAAUCUGGAAAGGGAGUUGAGGUGUCACCUUUUUUCUGGAAAGAGAAAAGUGGAGCAUCUUGAAAAUAAAGUUACCUGCCGUCCCACCAACUGCGCGUACUAGUUAAAUGAAAAAGAAUUUUUCUUUGAUUAUGCGUUUUUUUUGUUGGUGAGUCCAGAUAGGACAUUUUGUGGCGCCGCGUGACAAACAAAGCUUUUAUAUAAGCACGGAGCCUUUUGUUUUGCCAUCGCAAAUUCAAAAUCCUCCAGAACUGUGAUCUCAAAUCAGGUAGGAGAACCCGCUGAACUUAA